RNAcentral lists this ribosomal RNA (588 nucleotides) under uncultured bacterium. Its description in RNAcentral is "bacterial SSU rRNA". It matches the Rfam family "Bacterial small subunit ribosomal RNA", at positions 338 to 917 of the family's 1533-position model. The record is from RNAcentral.
CCUACGGGAGGCAGCAGUAGGGAAUCUUCCACAAUGGACGAAAGUCUGAUGGAGCAACGCCGCGUGAGCGAAGAAGGUUUUCGGAUCGUAAAGCUCUGUUGCGAGGGAAGAACAAGUACGGGAGUAACUGCCCGUACCUUGACGGUACCUCGUUAGAAAGCCACGGCUAACUACGUGCCAGCAGCCGCGGUAAUACGUAGGUGGCAAGCGUUGUCCGGAAUUAUUGGGCGUAAAGCGCGCGCAGGCGGUCCUUUAAGUCUGAUGUGAAAGCCCACGGCUCAACCGUGGAGGGUCAUUGGAAACUGGAGGACUUGAGUACAGAAGAGGAAAGCGGAAUUCCACGUGUAGCGGUGAAAUGCGUAGAGAUGUGGAGGAACACCAGUGGCGAAGGCGGCUUUCUGGUCUGUAACUGACGCUGAGGCGCGAAAGCGUGGGGAGCAAACAGGAUUAGAUACCCUGGUAGUCCACGCCGUAAACGAUGAGUGCUAAGUGUUAGGGGGUUUCCGCCCCUUAGUGCUGCAGCUAACGCAUUAAGCACUCCGCCUGGGGAGUACGGCCGCAAGGCUGAAACUCAAAGGAAUUGACGGA